Molecule: non-coding RNA, 635 nt
Organism: Coturnix japonica (Japanese quail)
Lineage: Eukaryota; Metazoa; Chordata; Aves; Galliformes; Phasianidae
Source: RefSeq, a predicted model, not a curated record
UUUUGGGUCUAAUUCCCACUUCAAGAUUUGGGUCUUUUGGGUCAAAAUCCCACCUCAAGAGUUGAGUUUUUGGGUCCAGAUUUGGCUCUUUCGGGUCUAAAUCCCACCUCAAGAUUCGGGUUCUUCGAGUUGCGUUUUUGGGUCCAGAUUUGGCUCUUUCGGGUCUAAAUCCCUUCCAUCAGCUUCAUAUCAUUCUCUCCAACCCUCCCCCCUCCCCAUUUAUCCUUUAUUUUGGGUUAAAAACCCCCAAAGGACGUCAAAUUCCAGCUCCGACACGACGUGGCCGAACUUCAGGCUUCCUCCAGCUCCGACCUGACCCCCUCCCACAUUUCCCUUCUCAAACUGGUUCUAUGUCGGGGUCUGUACCCCCAACUCGCCAUCCCGGACCCCCUCAAUGACAGCAGGAAGGAUUCCGACCAGAUUUUUCACACCAAAACCAAGCAGGGCAUCAGCCUUCACCCUACCUGUGUCUUUGCCACCAGCCCUGAGCUGCUUCAUGCCAAGGGAAGGAAAGAGCGCGGCACCGAAGCAGGGGACGGGAUGAGCUGCCACCACCAGCUCCUGGCCUUCGUCUCGCUGCUGGAGACCACCAAACCCUACCUGGUCAACUGCAUCCGCGUCCCUGCGCUGCAGGU